Syzygium oleosum is the source of this 563-nucleotide long non-coding RNA. RefSeq lists it as uncharacterized. The transcript has 3 exons. NCBI's taxonomy places the organism in Eukaryota, Viridiplantae, Streptophyta, Magnoliopsida, Myrtales, Myrtaceae. The record is from RefSeq and is a predicted model, not a curated record.
CCCAAUGCCGGCUUUGACUUCUUAUUUGUCACAUUAUGCUACAGUCAGUAGUCUCAAGUCACUCUGCAAUUCCUGGAAGUCGCUAUUUUAGCUGAAAUAUGUGGCUGUGUUGUGACCGAAGGAUUCACCAAUGUUAUAUAUUUUUGCAGGUGAACAGCAUCCCAGAAGGUUUUCAAAAUGGGACUCUGGAAGAUUGGUUGGUUCUGUUUUCUGAAAUCAUACAGAGUUCCUCUCGCCCCGUGUGUGUGGCUUGGCUAGACAAUAAACUUUCUGAAAGAAGCAGCGAUGUCAAAGAGGCACUAGUUACUUUGAUUCUCCAGAAAUUAGAAGGACAGAGCGCCGUACUUCAGAAGAUCAGGAGAUUGGGCAAGGAGGAUCUUUUUGCAUAAUUAUUACUCUGCUUUUUAAAGUUUGGUUCUCUCAGGAAGGAUUGCUAUUACAACAGUUGCUUGUUUGUCUCACAGGGGAUUUCCAUUUUAGAAGAUCUGGUGAUUGCAAUAGCAGAUGGCAUUGCAAGUAUCUAUUCGGAGCUCAUCUCUGUAGAUGGAAAUUUGUCAAAUGAG